This 1047-nucleotide ribosomal RNA is filed under the name Triticum aestivum (bread wheat). Its description in RNAcentral is "partial small subunit ribosomal RNA". The record is from RNAcentral. Lineage: Eukaryota; Viridiplantae; Streptophyta; Magnoliopsida; Poales; Poaceae.
AUGUCCUGCUUGUUGAACUCCAUCCGAACCUACCAUAUCAGGCGGUAUUUCCCUGUAGCUGCUUUCUGUUUCCUAAUGAACGAGAAACUAUCGAUUUUUAGCUGGAACGUGAGAGGCCUCAAUGAUGGUGCUAGGUGUGCUACCUCUCGCGCGCUUAUUGAUAGCCUUGACUGCUCCAUUGUUUGUCUGCAAGAAACCAAGCUGCCAUCCUGUAUGAUGUCUGAUCGCCACGAAGUUGUGGGGCGGCGCUUUGAUCAGCACGUUGCGCUUGAUGCUGAUGGCACGCGUGGCGACAUUAUGCUAUGUUGGUGCUCGAGCCUUUUUGCCGUCAGUAGGGUCGAUGUUAGAGCCUUCUCAAUCACUGCCACCUUCUCGCCGGUUGGCGGCGGAUCACCAUGGUCGUUAACCACGGUAUAUGGCCCCCAUGAAGACCAGCGGAAAGACCUCUUCCUCGCCGAGCUCGCCUCCAUCCACAAUUCAAUGACCGGGCCUUGGAUGCUCAUUGGCGAUUUCAACUUAAUCACUAGCCCGCAGGACAAGAACAAUCCUAGAAUUUGCCGACGGUGGAUGAACAAAUUCCGUAGAACCCUUAACUCCUCGUGCUUGCAUGAGAUUUCUUUGAUUGGACGAAGAUUCACGUGGAGCAACGAGCAGGCCACGCCUACGCUCGUGCGCCUUGACCGCGCUUUCUGUAACAUGGAAUGGGAGCUCCUCUUCCCAGCGGCGAAGCUCAUCCCUCAGUCCUCGGCGAUCUCGGACCACUGCCCGCUGCUGCUUCUAAAUGACAGCAUCAUCAGGACCAACAGACGCUUUCGGUUUGAAUCUUAUUGGCAGUUUGUUGAGGGUUUCCAGGAGGUUGUGCAGCAAUCCUGGGUGAUGGAUGCUGGCAACUCUUGCCCCCUGACUAGGCUAAACCGUAAGCUUUGGCGGUUGAGCAAAGCAUUGCAAGCUUGGAGCAGAAACAUCAUCGGUGAUAUCCAAAAGCAAUUUGCGAUAGUGAACGAGUUAAUUCUGCAAUUGACCAUGCGCAAGAUUUUCGUGAGCUGA